AGAUUCCGAUUUUCUCUCAAACAUAACUUCUCAUAAUGAUGUGUACUAUUUCAUCAAAUGUUCGAGUGAUAUUUAUGAUCAUUUUAAUGUUCGCAAUAAGUGCAUCAUUCAUCCCCAGUGACCUGGCAGGCGUCAGGCCCACAGGUAACAGACAGUCCGGAUAAACAGCAAGCUCUCCAAGACAACGCAAACAAUCUAGACAUGUUUGAUGCAUGAUUUAUUUUCUGACAAUUAAAGAACAACCAACUACGUCUAAGUUGGGAUUUCGAAACCCAGCUGAAAAAAACUGAAUUGCGAUGCGCUAAGUCGAUUCUUCGGUUUGUCACUGCUGUCACAUGGCCCACGCUUGAAACUAGAGGUGUGUUUCACUAAUAUAAAGGCACAAAGCACAAAACGUUUGUUUUAAUAAGGAGUUGCUUGACGCGAGCUCAAGGUGCGAAGUUGAGAUGAAAAGUGAGACUCAUCUCAUCGUUCGGGUCCUGUCUGCACAUGCCAAUUCAUUCUCCUGAUACCGAUCACAGGACGUCGUGCACAUAUUGACACCAUCUUAACGUUAUACAACAUUAAAAUUCUGUGAUUUAAACAUCAUUCCCGACAUCGGGAUUAGGAAAAUGGUUAAAAUUUCGAAAUCCCAAUCAUAUUGGAAUACCCAAAUAAAACUCGAAAAUAUUCUGUUAAUAAAUACAACACUCCACUUGUUGAACAAAGUGUAGAUAGUGUGAUAUGAUCAAAGUUGAGUGUUUUUGCAUGGUGUGACA
Non-coding RNA from Styela clava, 758 nucleotides. NCBI's taxonomy places the organism in Eukaryota, Metazoa, Chordata, Ascidiacea, Stolidobranchia, Styelidae. The record is from RefSeq and is a predicted model, not a curated record.